Long non-coding RNA from Pteronotus mesoamericanus, 536 nucleotides. RefSeq lists it as uncharacterized. The transcript has 4 exons. The record is from RefSeq and is a predicted model, not a curated record. NCBI's taxonomy places the organism in Eukaryota, Metazoa, Chordata, Mammalia, Chiroptera, Mormoopidae.
CGUGGCCGGGGACGGAGUUGUGGUGGAGAUGAGUGUCGUGUGGGCCAGGCGGCAGCGCUCGCGGACUCGUCUCCAGGCUAUUCGAGGUGCAACACGGUCUGUGAGUUGAAGAUGAAUGAAGGUUGUCAUAAUGAAUGUUUUCCAAAAACUUAAUCGUAGAGGAUGACUAAACCCCUGGGAGUACCACUGCAUGUAACAAGCAUAUAGGUAGCAGCAAAUGAAUGAAUGAAUGUUCAAGUUUUUGGCUGUGGUAUACAAAAAUUCUUCAUUGCCUCAGGUGUGGCAUGUGACAUUUCGGAGGGAGAAACAGAAUUUGUCAAGAAGACAUGAAUUGAAGCAAGUCAUGAAAAUAAAUAUUUUAUUUAACACUGAUCACCUUACAAUAAAUUAUGUAGAAAAUACAUGUUUGAAUCCUUUUAAUUGCUGGGUAAUCUGUUUUCUUUUAAACAGCUCCAUUGUCACAAUCACUAGUCAGACUUGUUUUUAACUUUAGGGAUAGUAUGUUUCGGAUAGUUACUUUCCUUGAGGUGGUCAGC